CCUUUCUCUAUUCCCUCCCCCUCCCGAGCUCGUCGGCGGAGGGCGAAAAAAUGGCGGCGGCGAGCAAUAUGGGAGGAGCUGCUGCCCUGCCCGACAACUCACUCGAGUUUCUACUGGAUCUGGUUGACAGGUUUCCGCUCAGAGAGGUCAUUGCGGACGUUCAUCAGUCAGAUCCGUUGGCGGUGAGGCUCGACCCCCCCUGCGCGGUUGUGGUUGGACAGUUCGGCGGCGCUGUUGAGCACAUGAAUUCUGGCGGCUAGAAGAAAGAAUCACCAACCCAGUCCAUGGAAUCGACCGGCAAGGUGAACCCAGAGGUGCCGGGGUGGCCCAGAAGGUUGAGAAUUGGCCGUGCACCUCCGGAUAGGGCACCCUGCCCCUGGUAGAGUCACUCCACUGGAAGAAACAAUUCAGAUGUACAACCAUCGGACAAUGUAGAGAAACCAGAGAUUGGAAUGAGUUUUGACUCCCUAGGGAAGCCUACGAUUUCUAUAAGUUGUAUUCUAGGGAGCUUGGAUUUGGUAUAAGAUAUGGCAACUGUCGUCUGAAUGUCGAGCGGACAAAUUGUAUGCAGGAGAUCGUCUAUGGAUGCUUGGGAAAUCCUGAGCAGCGGAAUAGCUGGUCUUGCCGGUGCGAGUGCCCUUAAAUGAUCAGACUUUUUAGAGCUGCUCACAAUGGAUGGUUGAUAGGUGAGCACCGGUCAAGCCACAACCAUUCAAUGUCCCUUACUUGCGGUGAAAAGGUUCAUUGGCCGUCCCACAUGCACAUAGAUAUGUACACAAAAGACUUGGUGAAGCAGCUUAGGGGGAACAAUGUGAACCUCAACAAGGUGUACACCAUAGUUGGCAGCUUCUCCUGUUCAUCUCAAAAUGUGCCUUUGACAAAGCAGUCUUCUCCUGAAUCUGUGUGGCCGGAUAAGUCGAGACCAGGCUGCCGAUGAUGUGAACAAGACCCUUGCUGUGUUUAAAGAGAUACAACGCAACGACCCAGAGUUCACCUACAGAAUCCAAGGGGAUGACAAAAGCAGAAUCAAGAAUCAUGUGGACAAAUGAAAAUAGCAAGCUGCAGUACAAAUUCUUUGGUGAUGUCAUCGUUUGGCACAAUGUAUCGGACUAAUUAAUCUCUAUGACAUGCCCUUUGGGUUGUUUGCUGGAGUGAACAAUCACUUCCAGAGCAUAAUUCUAGCUGGUGUCUGGAUGCGUGACGAGUAAGUCGGGAGCUUCCAAUGGGUGUUCUCUGAAUUCAUCAACGUGAUGAGGGAUCAAGCGAGAGACAUGGAAGUUGCAAUCAAGACUGAGUUACCCGGGACUGUACACACCUACUCGGUGGCCCCGAUGAUACGGUCGGCGGCAGCGGUGGCGUUAUCUCCACAACGGGGAUGUUCUUCCUCCACAUGUACAUGCUUUAGCAAAUACAUAUAUUUUUUCAAGUACUACUACAUACAUAAGAAUUACUCUGAACUUCUGAAGUGUGAAUUGCCUAUAUAGUGUCAGUUUUCAGAAAACAACCUUGUUUAUGUGAUGGUUCAAUGGCCGAAUGAUAUUAUUCUUGACAAACUUGUUUUAUAAAAACAAAUGGUGUUGCAGACACGCGUCUUAGGAAAAUCAACAAGCAGUAUUGGUGGUUUGUGAGAACUGAACCUUUGAAUCCAUUGAGAACCAGGGUGCUGGUAUUUUGAGUCCAGUGAGAACCUUUGAAUUAUUUGUUCAGGGCAUUGUUCAGAAUCUUUUGAUAGGGCCUAGUUAGUCCUAAAAGCAUACAAUCAUGUUGGAGUACUUGUCAUAAAAGUUCCUCUCAUUUCACUCCAUUCAAAAAGCAAUUGCAGAUUUAUACGACUGAUCAGGCUUUAAACUUUGCUGAUUGUUCGCGGAGGGACAACUUGACAGCAUGCUGUUUCAUCAUAUCAUUGCAAAUACUCUUCAUUCAAAACUCUUGUGCCUUUUGUGAACACACGGUAUAGUCGAGCAUUCAUAUGGUGACUUCCAACUACAGAAUUAUCUCUGAAUCGGUGAAUCCACAUCCUGGAAGCGGAAUAAUCUCCAAACCUCAUGCUCGAAUUGGUUUGCACAAGUAAUUAUUUACCAACUGGAUUCAAAUAUGCAAAGUCUUCCAAGCAAAACUGCAGGAAGCAAGAAACCAAGCAGUAGUUUGUAAUCCUGUUGAGUUUACUGAAUGGACUUCAUGUUUACUAAAUGUUGAGUUUACUGAAUGGACAUCAUAUUUCAGAA
Triticum dicoccoides is the source of this 2225-nucleotide long non-coding RNA. RefSeq lists it as uncharacterized. NCBI's taxonomy places the organism in Eukaryota, Viridiplantae, Streptophyta, Magnoliopsida, Poales, Poaceae. The record is from RefSeq and is a predicted model, not a curated record. The transcript has 6 exons.